UCAUAUCUCUCUCUCUCUCUAUAUAUAUAUCAAAAACAUGCUCUCGCCGGAACCUCUGCUCCGUCGCGCUGGAGGUGGCGGAGCCUCCCAAACAGGCCAUAAACCACCACCAAAUGUAUCGUACCAACCUCUUCUCUCUAAAUUUCAAAUCAUUUUCCUCUAAUAACUACAUAAUAUUUUGAAUCAAAUAAAAGUAACAAUGGACCUUAAGAUUCCAAAUUGAAAUUAAAUGCCACAGAGGAGGAAUCAAAACCUAAAAUUUUGGGGCUUUGAUUCCUCAAGCCUAAAAUUACAUGAUAUCAAUGUAAUCAAUGUGAAUUGAUGAUGAAAACAUGGAGCUCCCCUACGAGGCGGAGAAUGGACUCGGGUUUGUAGAAUUUGAAGAAGAUGAAGUUGAAAAUGGAGGAAAAUUCAAUUUUUUCCAUGAGUUUGUGAUGUGUUGGAAGAAAUGCCAUCAAGCUUCCCUUUUUUAUUUGAUAAUGGAACAGUUAGAGAAACUCCAUGGCAGGAACUGAGAAAUGAGUUCCCAACAAUACUAUUGUGUUUGAUCAAGGUGCAUUGACAAUUAUUGUAUUGCUUGCGUUUGAGGUGACACCAUCAAUUUCAUCAACAAUCAUUUUCCUACUAAGAGCAUGAGCAGAUGAGUGAAGAGGGUUUUGCCUUUAUCUUCAGUGGAGGCACACCUUAAAUCUCAUUGCCUUGUACAUCAGAAUGCUCAAUACUAUCAUGUUGAACUUUGGCUGUUUGGCAGCAUUGGAGGAUUGAGCAAAGACCCUCAAAAUGGCCAUUCAUGUGGUUUGCACUUGAAGAAAAUUGUAGCAUGGUGUAGCGGUAAAAUUUUUGAGAUUAAGUUAUUUGAUUAACUUAACUCGCAAAGCAAGAGUAGUCACCGCGCUUUUAUUAUUUCCAGAGGAAAAGGAAAAAAGUAUGAACAAAAUCCAAAGAAAUUUUAAAACAAAACUAAUAAAAAGAGAUAAGGGUCUGGGGGUUGGUUAUGUAAAGGGAAGAUAUUAUCACUCUAAACAUCUAUAGUACUCUAUAUGAACCUCUUUAAAAAUAUGUGCAUUUUGAAUUACAAGAAAUGAGGUUGUUUGCAAAAGAUUA
This is a long non-coding RNA of Lathyrus oleraceus (garden pea), 1104 nucleotides long. RefSeq lists it as uncharacterized. Lineage: Eukaryota; Viridiplantae; Streptophyta; Magnoliopsida; Fabales; Fabaceae. The record is from RefSeq and is a predicted model, not a curated record. The transcript has 4 exons.